Molecule: long non-coding RNA, 1573 nt
Organism: Ictalurus furcatus (blue catfish)
Lineage: Eukaryota; Metazoa; Chordata; Actinopteri; Siluriformes; Ictaluridae
Exons: 3
Source: RefSeq, a predicted model, not a curated record
AAGUAACUUAACCUGUCCAGAUAGAAUUUCUACUCUACUGCUGAAGACUUGUACAGAGUAUGUGACCCAAGCUUGGGUCCCUAUUUUACAAUAUUAAUUGGACUUCUUGAACAAUUCCAGAGAAAAGUUGUUUUUAAAAAAAAGACUAUUGGCCUGUAGCUUUAUGUCAGAUAAGGUAGGCGGAUACGGGUGCAAUUGCAGUACGAGUUUAUCAUGAAAACACAACCAGACAAAUCCAAAUCGUAAGACAAAGUCAUAACCAAAACCAGGCAAUAAUACUAAAAGGAGAUGUGCAAACUACUCAAAAAGGGAAAAAGCAAAAAAAUAAAAACAGGUAGAGAACAAGAACAGAAAGUGAGAUAAACAACACAUAAUUUAAUAAGCAAGGUGUAAGAACUGUGCAAAAACUGCUGGAAGGGUGCAAUACUUGAUGUGCAAUACUCCUGGGGAUGUGUAAUACUGGAACUGUGAAAUUCCUGGGAUCAUGGAACAGUAUUGAGACUGUGCAAUACUGUGAUUUCACCACUAUGCUAUACUGUGUCCUGUGCAAUACUGAUGGAACUGUGCAAUACUGUGAUUUCACCAUUAUGCUAUACUGUAUUCUGUGCAAUACUGAUGGAACUGUGCAAUACUGAUGGAACUGUGCAAUACUGUGAAUACUGGGCUAUGAAAUAUUAGGAAUGUAUAUAUGUCAGGUUGGCAGGUAGUGGAACUUGUCGUUGUAAGCCAUUAAUGCAUGCUGAGUCCAAGAAAACUAUUUUCUGAUAGGAAAAUAAAGUAUUUCUUUUCUUUGCUUUGUUUUUUCUUUCUUUUCAGGUUUUUUGAAAAGUAUGUUUUGUAUCUCCUGACUGAAUGUACUGUGCAAAUGAUAAAUAAACUUGACGUGAUUUGGCCCUCAUUCCUCUUAUUCUAAUACACUGUUUUGACAUGCAAAUAAGUAUUUGCCUGUGACCACAUUUUCAGCAGUGUAGUAUGUGUCCAUGUUUUAGGUUUAUCACAGGGAAAGGCCACAACCAAAUCCACAAACAAGGGAUUGUCCAGAUAGUAUGUCUGUUAGGCUAUAUAUCCGUCACUCUGCUCACCUGUUUCAUAGCAUCAAGCUGUAAGCCAAAGAUUGUCAGAAAUUCAACAAUCAAAAAGUGUCCAGGUGUCCAGAUUACGUAGUUGUGGUAAGUGAAUUCUUCAAAAAGGUGUGUCCAGAGCUUGUUGAUUUAGAAAUGCUUACAGUAUAUUAGGCUAUAUAUAUACACCUCAAUCUACUGUACGAGAUUCACAACAUCAAGCUGAGAAAGGGAAGGGAGGAGAGAAGAGAAAAGGUAAAUGAAUCACAUGAAAAUGAAUCACAUGUAAAUGAAUCAUAUGAAUAUGAAUCACAUGAACAUUAAUCACAUGAAAAUUAAUCACAUGUAAAUGAAUCACAUGUAAAUGAAUCAUAUGAAAAUGAAUAAAUAAAUUAAAACACGAUAAACAAUUUUAUUGUUUAUUAUUAACCAUUAUCAACCAUUAUUUCAGUAAUAUGUAAAAUUUAAAAAAAUAUGAAAAAUAAAAUGUGUUUUGCCAUGCACUUUUACUG